UGAUGUAACGAGGACCUGGUAUAGAUUAA
This 29-nucleotide non-coding RNA is filed under the name Rattus norvegicus (Norway rat). The record is from RNAcentral. Lineage: Eukaryota; Metazoa; Chordata; Mammalia; Rodentia; Muridae.